Molecule: transfer RNA, 77 nt
Filed under: Empedobacter brevis
Lineage: Bacteria; Pseudomonadati; Bacteroidota; Flavobacteriia; Flavobacteriales; Weeksellaceae
Also listed under: 3 other names
Description: tRNA-Asp
Rfam family: tRNA
About the family: Transfer RNA (tRNA) molecules are approximately 80 nucleotides in length. Their secondary structure includes four short double-helical elements and three loops (D, anti-codon, and T loops).
Source: RNAcentral
GAUCCGGUAGUUCAGUUGGUUAGAAUACUUGCCUGUCACGCAAGUGGUCGCGGGUUCGAGUCCCGUCCGGAUCGCAA